CUCUUUGUAAUGUAUAUUACUAGCAACAUAGAGCAUCAUACUACAUUUCAAUAUUCUUCUUACUACUGUUCUUAGCUAAAGUUUUAUACAUCCCUAGUUAAUGCCAGCCUGUCAUAGAAACUAUCAUAAUAAACCUCCGUAGGCUCUGAUACAUAUCCAUGCUUUUUGUAUAUACUUGAAAAGAUGAUGAUGGUUAAAAUACAAAAGUCCAGCAAUUUGAAUGUUCUCUAUGAAUGCAGAUAGCUCAAGACUAAAGAGUAUGAUCAAAAAAAGAAUCCAAAUGGUCCUAUAAAAUUUUUGAUCACUUUAAAGAUGUCAACAUGUAGAUUUACAUUGUAACCAUAAAUUUAAAUAUCAAAAGGUUCUUUUUUGAUAUAUGUAUGAGGCAAAUGGAUCACACUUCAUGGAGAAAGAUGUAGAAUCUAUUUGUGAGAAUUGAAAAAAUGCCAUGAUAAAGUUAAACCCUGAGUUUUAGUGCGACAGAGUUGAACUAAUAAAUAAUAUCCUCCUCCAUAGUGACAAAGUUUUCCCUCUAAUAUUCUCUUCCAUGGAGAUGACGCACAAUGAGAGUUAUUGGUUUUGGUGAUUCACAAACUAAAUUAUAUUCAAGGACAAAGGAAAUAUAUAACUAUAACAAAAGUUACCAUAAAUUAUACGAAUUACAACCCACUAGAGAAAACAAAUAAACAAGCAUUACCUCAAACUUAGUACAAAAGGCUUCUGCCUCCGCAGGUGGUGGAUAACACCAAAAUUUCCUUGCUUUCACAUUCACUUGAUAAAUAGAUGUUUCAUGCAAUCCUAUUUUUUAGGCCAUAAAGGGCUAUUAGAAAAUGAAUUUAUAGCUUCAUUCCUAUCUUUUCAAUUUUUGAAUUCAUUAAAGAAAUCUAAAGUUUGUUUACCAAAAAGAAAGAAAUCUAAAGUUUCUUAAUUAAUAGUUUAAAACACUUUAUAUCCAUAAACAUUAAACAUUUAAAAAUUUUCUGUUUCUUUUUCUUUUUCUUUCUUGAGUUCUUGGAGAGGAAAGUUGGGAGACCCAUCAAUUCAUUUUAAUAGAAUUGAAAUGUUUAUGAAAUAGUUUUAAGAAGCAUAACUGAUUGACAUAUACAAGUUUAGAAGAUAAUUUAGAAGUAGCAACAGAAGCCCAUUUUGACCUGAAAACCUUGAUAUUCUUGAGGAUAAU
Molecule: long non-coding RNA, 1180 nt
Filed under: Phoenix dactylifera (date palm)
Lineage: Eukaryota; Viridiplantae; Streptophyta; Magnoliopsida; Arecales; Arecaceae
Description: long non-coding RNA (PDAC_LNC006107)
Source: RNAcentral